This is a long non-coding RNA of Macrosteles quadrilineatus (aster leafhopper), 521 nucleotides long. RefSeq lists it as uncharacterized. The record is from RefSeq and is a predicted model, not a curated record. NCBI's taxonomy places the organism in Eukaryota, Metazoa, Arthropoda, Insecta, Hemiptera, Cicadellidae. The transcript is spliced from 3 exons.
CGAGGCCGAGUUAUCACUUGGUUUAAAAGAAGGUUGCCAAUAGCCAUAAUCAGUUUGAUAUGAUACUUUGUGUGUGAUGCGAUACUGGGCUUGUAAACUGAAGUAAACAAUGGCCUUACCGUCGUCGACCCGUGUGGUGCGAGGAGGGCGAGCGUUAGAGACCAUAUACUGGCACGUGACUUCAGGGAAGGCUGGAGUUAAACUGGUGAAGCACGGGAAAACACUCAAGUUCCCGAAGAAAAUGGUCCCUAAAGAACCUAAUGUGGCCGAGCAAGCGUUCAAGAAACUCAACUCCAGGCUUUAACUACAUGUGCGGGUCUCUGUUCCCAUUAUCCUCUGCGGAAUGGACCCAGGAUAGUCAGGGUCAGAUAGUGGAAUUCAGGUGGUUUUGUCAAGCGGUCAAUUAAAAUUCUCUGUGAUAUUUAUGUGUAUAUAAGUGUAAAUAUUACCCAUUUGUUUCUUUUAUAUUUAUGUAUAUUUCUGUAACACUCAAUUUAAUAAAGCAUUAAUUUACUAUACUA